UGUAAAGACCUUGUCUCAGAGGAGCACCAGGACAAGACCACAGGAAACAGAUGAUUCUUCUGCACAAUCUGACUUAGCUGCAGCCUGGAAUUGAACUACUGGUUUCGUCUGGUCAGAGGAGAACUGGCCCCCCAACUGAGCCUGGUUUCUCCCAAGGUUUUUUCUCCAUUCUGUCACCGAUGGAGUUUCGGUUCCUUGCCGCUGUCGCCUCUGGCUUGCUUAGUUGGGGUCACUUCAUCUACAGUGAUGUCAUCUCUGUUCAGUUUAAAUAGUGUCUGUGCAUUUAUUUGCAAUCAAGUCAAUGAUAUCGCUGUAGAUGAAGUAACCCCAACUAAGCAAGCCAGAGGCGACAGCGGCAAGGAACCGAAACUCCAUCGGUGACAGAAUGGAGAAAAAAACCUUGGGAGAAACCAGGCUCAGUUGGGGUCAGUUCUCCUCUGACCAGACGAAACCAGUAGUUCAAUUCCAGACUGCAGCAAAGUCAGAUUGUGCAGAAGAAUCAUCUGUUUCCUGUGGUCUUGUCCUGGUGCUCCUCUGAGACAAGGUCUUUACAGGGGAUCUGUAUCUGGGGCUCUAGUUGUCCUGGUCUCCGCUGUCUUUCAGGGCAGUAGAGGUCCUUUCUAGGUGCUGAUCCACCAUCUGGUCUGGAUACGUACUGGAUCCGGGUGACUGCAGUGACACUCUGGUCUGGAUACAGACUGGAUCUGGUGGCUCCGGUGACCUUGGAAUAAGAGAGAAACAGGCUAAUAUUAGCCUAGAUGCUAUUCUUCUAAUGAUGUAGCAAGUACAUCGGGUGUUAUGGGAAGUGUUUCCGGUUCCGGUUUACCUAAUUAAUGCAGCCUAAAAAUCCUUUAACGGAUUUGGAUAUUAAAAGCAUAUUAGUAUGUUAUGUGUAAGCCAGGUUAAAGAGAUGGGUCUUUAAUCUAGAUUUAAACUGCAAGAGUGUGUCGGCCUCUCGAACAAUGUUAGGUAGGUUAUUCCAGAGUUUAGGCGCCAAACAGGAAAAGGAUCUGCCGCCCGCAGUUGAUUUUGAUAUUCUAGGUAUUAUCAAAUUGCCUGAGUUUUGAGAACGUAGCGGACGUAGAGGAUUAUAAUGUAAAAGGAGCUCAUUCAAAUACUGAGGUGCUAAACCAUUCAGGGCUUUAUAAGUAAUAAGCAAUAUUUUAAAAUCUAUAUGAUGU
This 1181-nucleotide long non-coding RNA is filed under the name Carassius auratus (goldfish). RNAcentral's name for it is "lncRNA (ENSCARG00000022877.1)". The record is from RNAcentral. Lineage: Eukaryota; Metazoa; Chordata; Actinopteri; Cypriniformes; Cyprinidae.